Long non-coding RNA from Passer domesticus (house sparrow), 164 nucleotides. RefSeq lists it as uncharacterized. The transcript is spliced from 3 exons. The record is from RefSeq and is a predicted model, not a curated record. NCBI's taxonomy places the organism in Eukaryota, Metazoa, Chordata, Aves, Passeriformes, Passeridae.
CCUGCCUUUGCAGCUGUGCAGCGCUACUGUGAAUUUAACCAAAGUUCUCCAUUUUCCCUGAAGGAGUUCCCAGGCCUCUUAACUGCAGCCCUACAAUGAAUUGAAGAGGAGGUUGCUGGCCAAUCAGCACAGAAAAUGGAUUGUAAUUACUUCAGCCCCCAAAG